GAAAUGCUUGUACAUACUAAGAUACCAGCUUCUUAAUUAGAAUCCAUGCAGCUUUAUCUCCCUCAGUUCUCAGUUUCAAACAUGUUUGUUAACGCUAUUCGUACCUAAUGUGAUAGCUUAAACUUAUCGUUUAACGUAUCAAGUAUCGUCCAGCCCUACUUACCAGCUACAAUUGCAACGUCCUCAUUCAUUAUUUACGCUUUACAGCCUUUAUUUGAACAUAGCAAAACAAAAACUACACAUUUUGAGCCUUUAAAAUUCGUCCCGUAGGGCGCGAGCAACAGAUCUACUGUCAGCCUAUUUUAGCUAUUCCUUCUGCAUUCAUGAUCGUGAGAUUCCCUCAUGGCACAUUCACACAUACACAUCCUUCUAUUUUAAGUUCUACCUUAUCAUUGUUGCAGUCGUAAUUUAUUUUUUUCCCAUCUAUUUCUAAAAAAUUCUUCUUCUCUAAUUUUGCUAACAGGAUUGCGUCAGUGAAAUUAUGAAGCAAGCAAGACAAUCAAAUGUUCCAAUUGUCAUAAUUUCAGUGAAAUGAUCAGACAAAUUUAAAAAAUAGCAGCAAUUAUCAGCUUGUUGGGAUGUGGGGUUGGAGGACUGGAGAUUCAGUAGUGAUCAAGAUUCAAAUUGUUCUUUGCCUUUACAAUUCUAAGUUUUUGAUGUGUUAGGGUCGUGUCACAUGUUACCAUGCUUAUGUUAUAAUGCUCUCAUUACAGUUGAAUAAUUGAUCUUAAGAUCGUUAAUGAGUUCUAAUUAAAAGAGCUUCUUGCUCUUGAGGAAAUGCUUAAAUAUUAAUUGUACACUGAUUGAAAUCAACUUAUUACUUCAUGUCAAAGAAGCUUGGAUUUUCUUCUUUAUAUUGAUGGAAGUUUGUUAUACAGGUAUGUAAGGCAACACUUAUUGCUCUCACAAGGGUAUGCCUUUUGUUGCUUUCCUGAAUAUUGGAUGCUAGAAUGCCAAAUGCACCACUACUUACAUAUAACUAUGUAAUAAUGUUAAAUAGGCUUGGCUUUGCGUUUGAGGAACUAAUUAAAGAAGAUUUGGGUGAGAAAUGU
RNAcentral lists this long non-coding RNA (1052 nucleotides) under Populus trichocarpa (black cottonwood). RNAcentral describes it as "long non-coding RNA (PTRI_LNC004814)". The record is from RNAcentral. Lineage: Eukaryota; Viridiplantae; Streptophyta; Magnoliopsida; Malpighiales; Salicaceae.